Molecule: RNase P RNA, 472 nt
Filed under: Candidatus Omnitrophota bacterium
Lineage: Bacteria; Pseudomonadati; Candidatus Omnitrophota
Description: Candidatus Omnitrophica bacterium (groundwater metagenome) RNase P RNA component class A
Rfam family: Bacterial RNase P class A
About the family: Ribonuclease P (RNase P) is a ubiquitous endoribonuclease, found in archaea, bacteria and eukarya as well as chloroplasts and mitochondria.
Source: RNAcentral
AGGGGUAGCCGGAUGGCCGCCCCGCCACAGCACGUCGGCGGGGAGGAAAGUCCGAGCUCCACAGGGCAGCGUACCUCGAUAACCUCGAGGCACCCGGCGGAUCACACCGGGUCGGAUCAGAGCCACAGAGACGAGUAGUCCCACCACUUGGUGGGAGCCGGCUAACGGCCGGCCAGGAUCGUUGUACGAUCCUUUGGGUGGACCGAAGGUCCACCCACCACCAAGUGGUGGGAUGAGGUGAAACGCGGCAAUCUCUACGCGGAGCAAGGCCAAACGACUUGCCUUUCGGGCUGCCCGCCCGAGUAUUGGGGUCAGACCCCAAGGGGUCUGACCCCAGAUGGCAGGAGGGUAGGCCGCAGGAUCCCGGCGGCAACGCCGGGACCAGAUGGAUGGCCAUCAUCUCGGGGUCUGACCCCCUUCUUUGGGGUCAGACCCCGAGGGACAAAACUCGGCUUACAGGCGCCGCCUUGGC